ACGAUGCCGAUAUAAAGUUACUAGUCACAGAGCUCGAGAGUUGCGCUGCCGACGGUUGCCGUGGCUUCUCGAAGGAGCAACAAACUUUUUUCAGUAACGAACAGUUGCAGUGAGUAUGAGAUACUCUGGAGACAAGGCGGGCCUGUAGUUUGGUCAUGACCCUGAGCGAGAUACUCUGGAGACACGGCGGGCCUGUAGUUUGGCCAUGACCCUGAGCGAGAUACUCUGGAGACACGGCGGGCAUGUAGUUUGGCCAUGACCCUGAGCGAGAUACUCUGGAGACAAGGCGGGCCUGUAGUUUGGCCAUGACCCUGAGCGAGAUACUCUGGAGACACGGCGGGCAUGUAGUUUGGCCAUGACCCUGAGCGAGAUACUCUGGAGACAAGGCGGGCCUGUAGUUUGGCCAUGACCCUGAGCGAGAUACUCUGGAGACACGGCGGGCAUGUAGUUUGGCCAUGACCCUGAGCGAGAUACUCUGGAGACAAGGCGGGCCUGUAGUUUGGCCAUGACCCUGAGCACUUGCUAAUAAAGGGUUCCCCGUGCUUCAAUAGCUGUAGAUCACGAGGUGUUGGAUUUCUUGUGCGCGUUCUCUGCAGUAUCGUGUCGUUCUGCGCCCAAGCUCUUCAGUAGGGUUACAUCGUGUAGUUCCUUGACGUGCUUUGUGGGACCGCGUGGAGUCUCGCGCCCAUAAUAUGUUCAAUCGAAAUGUGGGAUAUGAUGACGGUGGCGUAACAGCGGAGGCCACCGGCGCAGAUUUCGGGAGGUACACUUCGUAUUAAUUUCGCAACCUUUUAUUUUGGUUUCCAUUUUGACUCUCCAAUCCUUGGCGUUCUUAGGGAUUACGUCCCACGUUACUCUCCGGCUGUUGUGCCUCCCGAUCAUGUGCUUAUACACCGCGCGGCUGAAGAACGAGCCCAUGUUCCCGAUGAACACCUGCCCGUGAGCGAGAAAAUCCAGCGCUUCCAGCGCAACCCUCCGUCUCCUCCUUGACGAUGUCGUCCAUGUUCUCUAUCCAUCCCUUCCCAUGCUUUAGCUUGGAGCGG
Molecule: long non-coding RNA, 1043 nt
Filed under: Micromonas commoda
Lineage: Eukaryota; Viridiplantae; Chlorophyta; Mamiellophyceae; Mamiellales; Mamiellaceae
Description: long non-coding RNA (MCOM_LNC000482)
Source: RNAcentral